GAGGGUAUGGCUCAGUGAUAGAGUGUUGCUUAGCACGCACGAGGUCCUGGGUUCGAUCCCCAGUACCUCCA
RNAcentral lists this transfer RNA (71 nucleotides) under Camelus bactrianus (Bactrian camel). It matches the Rfam family "tRNA". From Rfam's summary of the family: Transfer RNA (tRNA) molecules are approximately 80 nucleotides in length. Their secondary structure includes four short double-helical elements and three loops (D, anti-codon, and T loops). RNAcentral also lists the same sequence under 2 other names. Lineage: Eukaryota; Metazoa; Chordata; Mammalia; Artiodactyla; Camelidae. The record is from Rfam by way of RNAcentral.